GCGGCAGGCUUAACACAUGCAAGUCGAACGGUAACAUGAAGAAGCUUGCUUCUUUGAUGACGAGUGGCGGACGGGUGAGUAAUGCUUGGGAAUCUAGCUUAUGGAGGGGGAUAACUACGGGAAACUGUAGCUAAUACCGCGUAGAAUCGGGAGAUGAAAGUGUGGGACCUUCGGGCCACAUGCCAUAGGAUGAGCCCAAGUGGGAUUAGGUAGUUGGUGAGGUAAAGGCUCACCAAGCCGACGAUCUCUAGCUGGUCUGAGAGGAUGACCAGCCACACUGGGACUGAGACACGGCCCAGACUCCUACGGGAGGCAGCAGUGGGGAAUAUUGCGCAAUGGGGGCAACCCUGACGCAGCCAUGCCGCGUGAAUGAAGAAGGCCUUCGGGUUGUAAAGUUCUUUCGGUAGCGAGGAAGGCAUUUAGUUUAAUAGACUAGGUGAUUGACGUUAACUACAG
This 456-nucleotide ribosomal RNA is filed under the name Parahaemophilus parainfluenzae. RNAcentral describes it as "Haemophilus parainfluenzae bacterial SSU rRNA". It matches the Rfam family "Bacterial small subunit ribosomal RNA", at positions 39 to 484 of the family's 1533-position model. The record is from RNAcentral. Lineage: Bacteria; Pseudomonadati; Pseudomonadota; Gammaproteobacteria; Pasteurellales; Pasteurellaceae.